This 383-nucleotide ribosomal RNA is filed under the name Streptomyces fulvoviolaceus. Its description in RNAcentral is "bacterial SSU rRNA". It matches the Rfam family "Bacterial small subunit ribosomal RNA", at positions 33 to 421 of the family's 1533-position model. The record is from RNAcentral. Lineage: Bacteria; Bacillati; Actinomycetota; Actinomycetes; Kitasatosporales; Streptomycetaceae.
ACGCUGGCGGCGUGCCUAGACAUGCGCGUCGAGCGAGUAAGCGCUUGCUCCCAUGAGGUUAGCGGCGGACGGGUGAGUAACACGUGGGUAACCUGCCCAUAAGACUGGGAUAACUCCGGGAAACCGGGCUAAUACCGGAUAACAUUUUGAACCGCAUGGUUCGAAAUUGAAAGCUUCGGCUGUAUGGAUGGACCCGCGUCGCAUUAGCUUGUUGGUCGGGUAACGGCUCACCAAGGCAACGAUGGGUAGCCGACUGACAGGGUGAUCGGCCACACUGGGACUGAGACACGGCCCAGACUCCUACGGGAGGCAGCAGUAGGGAAUCUUCCGCAAUGGACGAAAGUCUGACGGAACGACGCCCCUCGAGUGACGAACGGACUAGG